GGAAGGAUCAUUACAAGGAACUGGCUUCGGUCAGAACCUCCAACCACUGUGUACCAAACUUUUGUUGCCUCGGCGGGCUGGGUGCCCACCAGCGCCCCCCUUAGGGGAGCCGCCCGCCGAAGGACCCCAAAACUUUUUUGUUGAUGAACGUCUGAUUCAACUUUUAAAAAAAAUACAACUUUUAACAAUGGAUCUCUUGGCUCUGGCAUCGAUGAAGAACGCAGCGAAAUGCGAUAAUUAAUGUGAAUUGCAGAUUUCAGUGAAUCAUCGAGUUUUUGAACGCACAUUGCGCCCCCUGGUAUUCCUAGGGGCAUGCCUAUUCGAGCGUCGUUUGGUCUCUCAAGCCUGGCUUGGUGUUGGGGCACGCCCUCUUACGAGCGGCGGCCCUCGAAAUCAUCGGCGGUGCCGGUGCGGCCUGGAAGCGCAGCAAAAUGCGAAGCCUACCCACCGAUACCCGCCGGAUCAAACGUCUUCGGACACUUUUUUACAAAAAGACCUCGAAUUAGGUAGGGAUACCCGCUGAACUUAAGCAUAUCAAUAAGCGGAGGAAAAGAAACCAACAGGGAUUGCCUUAGUAACGGCGAGUGAAGCGGCAACAGCUCAAAUUUGAAAUCUGGUACUUUCAGUGCCCGAGUUGUAAUUUGUAGAGGAUGUUUCGGCGUCGGCGCCACCUGAAGUUCCUUGGAACGGGACGUCAAAGAGGGUGAGAGCCCCGUGUCUGGGUGGAUGACUUCGCCAUGUGAAACUCCUUCGACGAGUCGAGUUGUUUGGGAAUGCAGCUCAAAACGGGAGGUAAAUUUCUUCCAAAGCUAAAUACCGGCCAGAGACCGAUAGUGCACAAGUAGAGUGAUCGAAAGAUGAAAAGCACUUUGGAAAGAGAGUCAAACAGCGCGUGAAAUUGUUAAAAGGGAAGCGCUUGAGGUCAGACUUGGUCGCCGUUGCUCGGCGGGGCUCUCGCCCCGUUUGCUCUUCGGCGAUCAGGCCAGCAUCAACUUGGACGGUUGGAUAAAGACCGUGGGAAUGUGGCUCCCCCGGGAGUGUUAUAGCCCACGGUGGAAUGCAGCCAGUCCGGGUUGAGGUCUGCGCAUCUGCUAGGAUGCUGGCGUAAUGGCCCCAAGCGGCCCGUCUUGAAACACGGACCAAGGAGUCUAACAUUCGUGCAAGUGUUCGGGCGUCAAACCCCUACGCGUAAUGAAAGUGAACGUUGGUGGGAAUUUUUUAUGCACCAUCGACCGAUCCUAAUGUCUUCGGAUGGAUUUGAGUAUGAGCACGUAUGUUGGGACCCGAAAGAUGGUGAACUAUGCCUAAGCAGGGCGAAGCCAGAGGAAACUCUGGUGGAGGCUCGCAGCGGUUCUGACGUGCAAAUCGAUCGUCAAAUUUGGGUAUAGGGGCGAAAGACUAAUCGAACCAUCUAGUAGCUGGUUCCUGC
RNAcentral lists this unclassified non-coding RNA (1429 nucleotides) under uncultured fungus. RNAcentral's name for it is "sequence contains 18S rRNA gene, ITS1, 5.8S rRNA gene, ITS2, 28S rRNA gene". The stretch from base 493 to 1429 matches the Rfam family "Eukaryotic large subunit ribosomal RNA", at positions 1 to 961 of the family's 3401-position model. Lineage: Eukaryota; Fungi. The record is from RNAcentral.